RNAcentral lists this ribosomal RNA (465 nucleotides) under Vreelandella stevensii. Its description in RNAcentral is "partial 16S ribosomal RNA". It matches the Rfam family "Bacterial small subunit ribosomal RNA", at positions 338 to 795 of the family's 1533-position model. The record is from RNAcentral. Lineage: Bacteria; Pseudomonadati; Pseudomonadota; Gammaproteobacteria; Oceanospirillales; Halomonadaceae.
CCUACGGGUGGCAGCAGUGGGGAAUAUUGGACAAUGGGCGAAAGCCUGAUCCAGCCAUGCCGCGUGUGUGAAGAAGGCCUUCGGGUUGUAAAGCACUUUCAGUGGGGAAGAAAGCCUUGGGGCUAAUACCCUCGAGGAAGGACAUCACCCACAGAAGAAGCACCGGCUAACUCCGUGCCAGCAGCCGCGGUAAUACGGAGGGUGCGAGCGUUAAUCGGAAUUACUGGGCGUAAAGCGCGCGUAGGCGGUCUGAUAAGCCGGUUGUGAAAGCCCCGGGCUCAACCUGGGAACGGCAUCCGGAACUGUCAGGCUAGAGUGCAGGAGAGGAAGGUAGAAUUCCCGGUGUAGCGGUGAAAUGCGUAGAGAUCGGGAGGAAUACCAGUGGCGAAGGCGGCCUUCUGGACUGACACUGACGCUGAUGUGCGAAAGCGUGGGUAGCAAACAGGAUUAGAUACCCUAGUAGUC